UAAUGGUGACACACUGCUAUUAUAUAUGAGCACUCUUCCGCAGUUGUAAAAUUAUAGUGUCUCUCCAGGGACAGGGUGGACGGUUUAUGAGUUAUCAAGAGCAGCAGCGCUAUACGGAUGGAUUGCUGCUCUCACACAAAUGGGUAAAGUGAAAACGGUUGAUUUCAAGGUCCUCAUUUCCAACCUACAGCGUCCCCUGUCACAGUUCUGCCCUAGACUGUAUCUGCCAGCUCCUCCAUUUUGAUUCCCCGGCCUGCUGCUAUGCUCGUCAGGUUCUGACAAACUCAUCUACUAAUCUCCACUCAAUUGAUCUUAAUUGUGACUGGACACUGCCACCCUUUGGAGAAACAAGGAAGGGUGGAGGAAGUGGCUGUUUGCCAGGAUUCUGGGGACAGUACCUCCCUGGUCUGGAACAACUGACGGGUCUGUCAUCUGAGUAGCAGGCACUUGCGUGCAUGACUGUCAGUGAUCCAUUGCGCCUAAGACAUUAGGCAACAACUGCCAUUUCAAUUAUACUAAUAAAAAGAGUUCUCAAAGCCAGCAGCUGCUGUGUCCUGCCCCUAGGCCAAUCAUCUGUUAGAGAAAAUCUACAUUUUUCAAUUUGAUUUUUGAUAAAGGUUGUGAAGGGAUUUGUUUGGAUUCUUGUUUUAAUAACCCAUGUAAAAAGCAGCUCUUUCACCCUCGUAAUAUACAUACCUGGAAUUGAAAUUUAUCAGCAAGUAGUUGUUUUAUUAAUUAAUUAAUAUAUUUAUUUCAUUAUGACUACAUGCAGCCGUCUGUACUAUGAGAUUUUUAUAUUUUAGUAAUGUGAGCUGUCUUGAAACAUGGGUCGUUCUUCUAUUAGUUUGUUGGUAACAAUAGUCUUCAUUUAUUUUGUAAUUACUUCUGGGAAAGUGGUUCCAAAGUGGUAUUUUUGAUUAAAAGAAGGUCCCUCUGGAUAACCUAUUGUUAAGCUGUUGGUUGCUGGUCUGGUUGAUAGCCUCUGAGUAUGUUUUCAUUUAGAAUGUUUUUAUUUUGCAGUAUCCUGGUUAUUAGCUAAAUAAUUGCAAUACCUGGUUCCUCCAUUGUAAUGUGCUGUGUGAUCAUUGGAAA
Molecule: long non-coding RNA, 1092 nt
Organism: Anguilla rostrata (American eel)
Lineage: Eukaryota; Metazoa; Chordata; Actinopteri; Anguilliformes; Anguillidae
Exons: 4
Source: RefSeq, a predicted model, not a curated record